This 197-nucleotide ribosomal RNA is filed under the name uncultured bacterium. RNAcentral's name for it is "partial 16S ribosomal RNA". It matches the Rfam family "Bacterial small subunit ribosomal RNA", at positions 335 to 524 of the family's 1533-position model. The record is from RNAcentral.
ACUCCUACGGGAGGCAGCAGUGGGGAAUAUUGCACAAUGGGCGAAAGCCUGAUGCAGCCAUGCCGCGUGUAUGAAGAAGGCCUUCGGGUUGUAAAGUACUUUCAGUUGUGAGGAAGGGUGUGUAGUUAAUAGGUGCAUAUCUUGACGUUAGCGACAGAAGAAGCACCGGCUAACUCCGUGCCAGCAGCCGCGGUAAU